Juglans microcarpa x Juglans regia is the source of this 5708-nucleotide long non-coding RNA. RefSeq lists it as uncharacterized. Lineage: Eukaryota; Viridiplantae; Streptophyta; Magnoliopsida; Fagales; Juglandaceae. The transcript is spliced from 2 exons. The record is from RefSeq and is a predicted model, not a curated record.
UGGGGUGUAAGGCAUAACUUUAUCUUCAUUCCAGAAGAUGUGGAGGGGAGGGGUUGGAGGAGUUUGACAGAUGUGAUGAAGGACCUUAUCUCGGAGGAAAAAGGUGUGAAACAUUAUGGAGGUGGGAUUCUACAGAGGUUAUCGGUGAUGAAGUUCAAUACGCAGCAUCAUUCGUAUAGGGAGGCGUUGGUGCAGUCCAGGGAACAACUUAGGGGUGGAGGCAUUGGCGGUAGGGUAACUCUUGGUAAUGACCAGAAGUCAAUAAUGAUUCCUAAGCCCUCGGGUACAGUAUGUAUGUAGAGGGAAGGAGGCGUUGGCAAGUCCUUUGAUGGCUUGUCGAAGAGAGGCAUGCACACUACCUUACAAAAAAUGCAAACACGGGUGGAGGCACUGCAGGAGCAAAUUAGUUUAUUGAUCUGGUGCGUACAGGAAGAUGAGGAGGUGGGCUUGGGCUUGGGGGCACAGGGAUGUGGGCAACCUGAAGAUGUGGGCUUGUUGGAUGGAAAGGGCCGAAUUGAAGGGCUAAGGGCUAGUUUUGUGGGCCACAGCCCACGGGGCUCAACAAGGGCAAAUCCAAAGCAGGAGCCCAGCCCGUUUGGAGAAUCAGGGAAGGAGGAGAGGCUGGCCCAUCUACCAGCAGGAGGAUGCAGGGUGCACCAACGGAGAAGAUCCCAAUAGGUUCGUCUCUCGCCGAGAAGCUGUCAACAAUGAGUAACCAGGUGGAGACGAUGGUGCUGGAAGAGGUCGAAUCUGUUCCUAUGGCUGUUGCACAGUUGAUUGUCGAUACUCAGUCCCAACAAGGACAGACAAAGUCGACAGACAGAGGUGGAGAGCCACCUCUCGAGAUACAGCUGGCAGCUUCGUCAGCGAGUGACUUUUACCCACUAGAUGUAGCAUGUGUGCCAUUUUCAAAGUCUAUGGGGCCUUCAAGGAUGCUAGUUGUUACAAGGGACUCCUCUUAAGUGGGGGGAAAGGCCUAUCUGUAUAAAGAUAAAAGUGCCAAUGAAGACACAGUGGGCACCCAAGGAUGCGAUUGACAAGAAGGGGGACCCGAUUCCGCUACAAUACCUGCUGCCAAAUCAGUCCAGUGUUUCCGACUGGGUGUUGCAUAAGGUAAAGGAAAUCCAACAUUGUGUAGGAAUUGAGUGAAGGUUUUGAGGAACAAUUUAUGGCUUUACUAACAACCAUUGAAGUGGGACAUGGUCUGUUAAAGAAAUCAGAUUCCAAAAAACAGUGGGAACUAAAGAGGCUAACGUGGUCUCUAAAUUAUGAAGGUAGCUCAAGCUCUAGUAGAGAAAGCUAAGGGGAGGGGACAAGCUCCACAUUUAUGAAUCCCAAAAUAGUAUCUUGGAAUGUCCGAGGGCUUAACGCGGCAAGUAAGCGCCUUCGGGUGAAAAACCUACUUCAUGAGUGGAAGGCGGACAUUGUGUGUUUACAAGAAACUAAACUGAAAUUUAUCACAAGGAAGAUUGUUCAUUGUUUCCGACUGGGUGUUGCAUAAGGUAAAGGAAAUCCAGAGUUUAUGGAGUUGUACAUAUGUGGAUUGGGCCUAUCUUGCUUCUGAUGGGGCAUCGGGAGGUGUUUUGGUGAUGUGGGAUAGAAGGGUGGUGGAUAAGUUAGAGGAGUUUAUUGGGGAGUAUACAGUGACAUGUUCUUUUUAGAGUAUAGAUGAUAAUUUUGUAUGAGCCUUUACUGGCGUUUACGGGCCAAACCUAGACAGCAGUAGAAGAUUAUUAUGGGAAGAACUUGCUGGAAUCCAUAGCUGGUGGAAUUUACCAUGGUGCAUAGGUGGUGAUUUCAACAUUAUACGUUUCCAAGCGAGCGUUCAGGAGACAGCAGGAUGCGAUCGGCAAUGGCAAAAUUCUUGGAGUGUAUUUUUUACUUGGGUUUGGUGGAUAUCCCCCUCAUGGGAGGUGCUUAUACGUGGUCCAAUAAUCACACGUGGUCUAGAUUGGAUAGAUUCUUAGUCUCAUUGGAGUGGGAAACACACUAUCUGGACCUUUGCCAAAAAAGGUUGCCUUGCCUUUGUUCGGAUCAUUUUCCACUAUUACUAGAUUGUGAGGGCAUUCAACGAGGGCGUUGGUAUUUUAAAUUUGAGAAUAUGUGGUUGAAAACUGAAGGUUUUUCGGAAAGGGUACGGCAAUGGUGGUCUUCGUAUUAGAUCCAUGGUACCCCAAGUUUUAUUUUCGUAGGUAAACUGAAAGCUCUAAAGCAUGAUUUAAAAUUAUGGAACACUCAAUCAUUUGGUGAUGUAGGUGACCGUAAAAAGUCCAUGUUGGAGGAGCUUCAGGAGGUAGAGAGGACACAAGAGGGUGGGGCUCUCUCCUUGGAGGAAGUUUCUCGGAAGGCUAAAUUAGUGACAAAGCUAGAUAGGGUUAUGUAAUUGGAAGAGAUCUCUUGGCGCCCAAAAAUCAAGAGCAUUGUGGCUGAAAGAAUGAGACCUAAGUACAAAGUUCUUUCAUAGAGUGGCCAACUCUCAUAGGAGAACUAAUAACAUUGAGAUGUUGAAAAAAGAUGGCAGGGACUGUGUGGAGGCUCCUGUGAUUAGGGAGCAUGUUACUGACUUUUGAACAAUUGCUUUGUGAGCAGGUGGGAUGGUGGCCAAAACUUGAUGGACUAGCUUUUGAGUCCAUUGAUACACAGCAAGCCUCGUGGUUGGAGAGGCCCUUUGAGGAGACGGAGGUUCACAGCAUGGUAAGGAGAAUGGUCAAAGAUGAAGCAUCUGGCCCAGAUGGUUUUUCCAUGGGAUUUGUUCAGGCUUGUUGGGAUGUGGUGAGGGAGGAUUUAAUGAGUGUUACAUGAAUUCUUUUCGGUUGGGAAGUUUGAGAAAAUCCUUAACGCCACAUUUAUCGCACUUAUUCCCAAGAAGCUUGGGAUAUCAGAGGUGAAGGAUUAUCGGCCCAUUAGCCUCGUGAAUGGGGUGUAUAAAAUCUUAUCGAAGGUGCUCACAAAUCACCUAGGGGAGGCUCUGGGGAGAAUCAUUACAAAACCCCAAAAUGCAUUUGUGAAAGGUAGACAAAUUAUAGAUUUAGUUCUCAUUGCCAACGAAUGUCUGGACAACAGACUAAAAUCUGAAUAGUCGGUGAUUCUAUGCAAAUUAGAUAUGGAGAAGGCGUACGAUCAUGUUAAUUGAGAGUUCCUACUUUAUUUGCUUGGGAGGCGUGGAUUUGGGGAGAAAUGGUGCUCUUGGAUUAGAUGGUGUAUCUCAAUAGCGAAGUUUUCAGUCUUGGUGAAUGGCGGCCCAAAUGUUUUCUUUAACAGCUCCUGAGGUGUAAGACAAUGAGAUCCUUUAUCCCCACUUAUAUUUGUCAUUGUUAUGGAGGCGCUUAACAGAAUGAUUCUAGCCUUGGUGAACAAUGGAUUUAUUGAUGGCUUAUUGGUUGGUAAUCCUACUAGGGGCUCCGUUAUUAUAUCUCACUUAUUGUUAGCAGAUGAUACAUUGAUCUUUUGUGAGGCAGAACAAAACCAAAUUCAAGCAUUGAAGGCAUUAUUACUCUGUUUUGAAGCGGUAUUAGGGUUGAAAGUGAAUUGUCAUAAAUCAGAGUUGGUUCCAGUGGGUAAUGCUCGCAAUAUCCAGCAGUUGGCUAAUACCCUUGGAUGUAAGGUUUCCUCUCUCCCCAUGAAUUACCUUGGUCUUCCCUUGGGGGCAGCUGCAAGGUCUUUAUCGAUUUGGGAUACAAUGAUUGAGAAGAUUGAACGCACAUUGACAGGUUGGAAAAGAUUGUAUCUUUCAAAAGGUGGUAGGAUCACUCUAAUCAAAAGUACUCUUCUAAUCUGCCAACUUACUUUUUAUCUGUAUUCCCAAUCCCAGCUAGUGUGGUGAAACGCAUCGAGAAACUUUAUCGUGAUUUUCUGUGGAGUGGGUUAGGAGAUGAAUUCAAGUUUCACCUAGUUAAAUGGGAUAAGGUUUGCUCCCUAGUCUCCUCCGAUGGGUUGGGUAUCAGAAAGUUGAAGACCUUCAAUUGAGCCUUUCUUGGGAAGUGGAUGUGGAGAUACAUCAUGGAACCAAAGGCUUUAUGGAAGUCGGUGAUUGAUCUUAAAUAUGGAGGUAUGUCGGGGGGGUGGGGGGGUGGUGCACUAGAGAAGUUUAUGGGGCUUAUGGAGUUGGAAUUUGGUAACACAUUAGAGGGUGGGGGAUUUUUGUUAGGCACACUCGGCUGGUGUUGGGUAAUGGGUCUAGAAUAAAUUUUGGACUGACCGGUGGUGUGGAGAUCAUGCUCUAAAUGAUUCUUUCCCUUCAAUUUUUAGAAUUGCACGUGAGAAAGAUGCAUCAGUGGCUGAUUGUAUGGAGUUCUUUGGGGACCUAGUCCAAUGGAACGUGAAUUUCACCAAGGCGGCCCAAGAUUGAGAAGUUGGCAGCAUUGAGGAGUUUUUUGGUCUUCUAUACAUAGUGAUACUGAGAACACAAGGCACUGACACGAUAUGGUGGUUACCCACCGGUAAAGGUAUAUUUUCAGUUUGCUCUUUUUAUAAGACCCUCACACAACCACUGAACACUGAGUUCCUAGGGAGAAGGAUUUGGUGAAAUAAGGUGUCUCCUAAAGCGGCAUUUUUUGUAUGGGCAGCAACAUUGGGUAAGAUCUUGACUUUGGACAAUUUACAGAAACGAAGGGUGAUCAUAGUAGAGUGGUGUUGCAUGUGUAGGAAAAAUGGUGAAACUGUGGAUCACUUGCUGUUGCAUUGAGGUCGCUAGAACGUUAUAGAAUGAAGUGUUCAACAGGUUAGGUCUUGCUUGGGUGAUGUCUGCCACAGUGAUUGAGCUCUUGGCCAGCUGGGCCAAUUUAUGAGGUCGCCCACAAAUCUCAGCGGUGUGGAAAAUGGUUCUGAUAUGUAUUCUAUGAUAUGACCGGACGUUUGAAGACAAUGAGCAUUCUUUGGAAGAACUUAGAUUAUUUUUUGUCAACACUUUGUUUCUAUGGGCCACAGCUGUGGAUUUUUGUGGCCUCAAUUUUCAUGAUUUUCUAGUCUCUAUUUCCUCUUCCUAAAUAGGUGUUCCUUUUGCAUACUUCUUGUGUACUUGGGCUAUGUCUAUUUAUAUCAAUAUAAUCGUUUACUUAUAAAAAUAUAUAUAUAUAUAUAUGUUAUUAUUUUUACACUAUCUGCACUGAUUAUGAACUUGCAGCUACUAUGAGUGUAUUAUACUGUUAUGGAUUAGGUUUUAUUUUCUUACUUAUACUGGUGCUUUAGGAGCUCAGGCCUAACUUGGGGCAUAACUGGUCUUGCAAGUUAGUUUCUCAGUAUGCCGCUAGUCUUAUGAACUAACAGCUUAGAACUUAUAUCCUAUUAUCUAGGAUACAGAUCUCCUGAUGUGGGCUGUGUUCACCCCCUGCUCAAUUGACGUUUUCUAGAUCUUUAUGUGCACAAAUAGCAUUGAAAUGUUAAUGUUGUGAUCGAUCGGGAUGCAGCUUAGUGGUCAAAGGAUGGGAUUGGGAUGAACUUUAAACUCAGGCAUCCAGGGUCUGAUAGUUCUGGUCGGUGGGGGCAGUGUAUAUAGGGUUACUCCCCAAGGGUGGGUCCAAAGGGCCUUGCCUUGGUGAGGUUCCACAUCAUCAAAACGUGUUAGUGUUUGACAUGUCUAAAUGUUAGAUUUAGAUAUGGCUAAGCUAUCUAAGGUGGGGUGCCCAUUAUAAUUUACAUUGUUGCAUUCUUAUGACAGUUUCCGACAGUUAAUAGGUCUAGAAUUUUUGUACAAGAGGUUACCUAUAAGA